CAAUGGUAAAUAAUCAUCAGACAUAUCUAUCAGACUAAUCUAACAAAACAAGGAAGAAACUAAUUUAAUAAAAUCUUCCAUCUUCAAUCCUUAGUUUCUUCUUACCCCUGACUCGUUUAAUCUGCUUAUCUGAAAAAAUAAAAAGGAGUGGGAUGAGACUUAAAGCCUCAGUGAGUCCCACCUAUCUUAGGGUGAUACUAAUAUCCUUUGUCUUGACAGUUGAUUAAUCACAUAAACAUAUACAUAUUCAUUUCACGAUUAUUUUCGGUAUAAUGCAAAUAAAGUGUGACACAAAAUUAUUUGUCUAAGUUGAUUUUACGGAAUAAUUCGAGGUGAGUAGUCUCGAACCAUUCCCUUACAUACCCGGCUAAAUUCCCUAUCAUAUUAGGGCUAAAGCGUACGGUCAUACCUCAUCUUAUCGUCGUGUGAAAUUCUAUAUAGAAUUUCAAUCCAGCUCCAACUCCUACAUAAGGAAGCCUUUCUGGUGCCUUAUAAACCACAACUUAACAUAUUAUUCAUCAUAGACAUUUAGCAUUAGAAAUCUAACACUUGUGGCCCAAAGUCCACUACAUUUCAAGAUCAACUGUGAAUAUUCUUACCUGUCCUGAAUUAACUUACAAUGCAUCUAGUUCAUAGUUUUCUGUUUGUUUUCCCUACCCAACCUAUGCAAUUUAUUAAGCUAACUACUAUAUUUUUCAUUCCUAUAUGAUCUUAUUCCAUUAGGGACAUUACGGUGUCCCAAAAGCGUCCGAAAAUGCAAAACAGUGCAAACAGGGCUGCUGGAUGUAGCUCCAGGCGCAGGAACAGUCUGGGAAACACUGUUAUUUGCCCUUCCAGCGCAGUGGUCCGCGCCCCAGCGCAAAGGGCUGAAUGCUCAGGUGGCCAGUUUCCUGCAAAAAAAUUCAGUUUGUACCAUUAUCCUCACAGUCCUAGCCUUACUCUAGAUGCAUUUUAGUGACAAUUUAGGCCAACAGUUAGUAGCACAACAAGGGCAAGGGAAGUCACCAAGAUUCAUAAACAACAUGCAUUAAAUCUAUACAAUUUGAGAGAACUAAUCUAAAGGGGCAAUCUCAUCAAAGUACAAUUUCUCAUGAAAUAGUUUCUAGUUCUAACUACCUGUAAACCCAAUUCUCCAUGAGAAUAGUGGGGAGACUAUUUUGGUAAGGAUUUCUAUCUAUGGAACUCACCUCUGUAAUUGUAGCUCUCUCAACACAUGAUUAUUACAACCACAACAUAGUCUACAUCAAAAGCUUGUUCUCCAAUCUAGUCUAGUACAACUAUAAAAAAUACGAAAUACUAAUUUUAUUUUCGAAUAUAAAAAAUUAUCGCCUUAUAUCUUUGCCCUGUAUUAUCUUGUUCUGUACUGUUCUGUCAAAUCCUUACUGUUUUACGAAUCAAACGCACCACAUUGAUUUUUAAAAAUAAUCAUUAUCAUUAGGAUUUGAGCAACUUCAUAUUAAAACAUGAUUAUUCAAUUUAAAACACUAUGCAACACAUAUACUUCAUCGAAAUUUGACACUUUGAAAAACAAAAACAAAAAACUCUACAACCUAGAGAAACUCAAUUCGAGACUCGACAUCAAGAAAAAAAAAAUGCAACAACC
This 1603-nucleotide long non-coding RNA is filed under the name Trifolium pratense (red clover). Its description in RNAcentral is "long non-coding RNA (TPRA_LNC013527)". Lineage: Eukaryota; Viridiplantae; Streptophyta; Magnoliopsida; Fabales; Fabaceae. The record is from RNAcentral.